This 304-nucleotide ribosomal RNA is filed under the name uncultured bacterium. RNAcentral describes it as "partial 16S ribosomal RNA". It matches the Rfam family "Bacterial small subunit ribosomal RNA", at positions 509 to 807 of the family's 1533-position model. The record is from RNAcentral.
CAGCAGUCGCCGCGGUAAUACGGAGGGGGCUAGCGUUGUUCGGAAUUACUGGGCGUAAAGCGUACGUAGGCGGCUUUGUAAGUUAGAGGUGAAAGCCUGGUGCUCAACACCAGAACUGCCUUUAAGACUGCAUCGCUUGAACGUCGGAGAGGUGAGUGGAAUUCCGAGUGUAGAGGUGAAAUUCGUAGAUAUUCGCAAGAACACCAGUGGCGAAGGCGGCUCACUGGCUCGAUUCUGACGCUGAGGUGCGAAAGCGUGGGGAGCAAACAGGAUUAGAUACCCGCGUAGUCCCUGUCUCUUAUAC